GCCCUGGUGGCACAAAAGGUUAAGAACUUGGCUGUUAACCAAAAGGUUGGUGGUUCAAACCCACCCCACGGCU
This 73-nucleotide transfer RNA is filed under the name Loxodonta africana (African savanna elephant). It matches the Rfam family "tRNA". From Rfam's summary of the family: Transfer RNA (tRNA) molecules are approximately 80 nucleotides in length. Their secondary structure includes four short double-helical elements and three loops (D, anti-codon, and T loops). Further hydrogen bonds mediate the characteristic L-shaped molecular structure. tRNAs have two regions of fundamental functional importance: the anti-codon, which is responsible for specific mRNA codon recognition, and the 3' end, to which the tRNAs corresponding amino acid is attached (by aminoacyl-tRNA synthetases). tRNAs cope with the degeneracy of the genetic code in two manners: having more than one tRNA (with a specific anti-codon) for a particular amino acid; and 'wobble' base-pairing, i.e. permitting non-standard base-pairing at the 3rd anti-codon position. The record is from Rfam by way of RNAcentral. Lineage: Eukaryota; Metazoa; Chordata; Mammalia; Proboscidea; Elephantidae.